UUCCGGUUGAUCCUGCCGGACCUGACUGCUAUCGGAUUGAUACUAAGCCAUGCUAGUCUUUGCAGUAAUGCAAGGCAUACGGCUCAGUAACACGUAGUCAACUUACCCUAUGGACGAGGAUAAUCUCGGGAAACUGAGCAUAAUACUCGAUAGAUCAUAAUGCCUGGAAUGGUUUAUGGUUAAAAUGAUUCGUCGCCAUAGGAUGGGACUGCGGCCUAUCAGCUUGUUGGUGAGGUAAUGGCCCACCAAGGCGAUUACAGGUACGGGCUCUGAGAGGAGAAGCCCGGAGAUGGGUACUGAGACAAGGACCCAGGCCCUAUGGGGCGCAGCAGGCGAGAAAACUUUGCAAUGUGCGAAAGCACGACAAGGUUAAUCCGAGUGAUUUCUGCUAAAGAAAUCUUUUGCAAGUCAUAAAACCACUAGUGAAUAAGGGGUGGGCAAGUUCUGGUGUCAGCCGCCGCGGUAAAACCAGCACCUCAAGUGGUCAGGAGGAUUAUUGGGCCUAAAGCAUCCGUAGCCGGCUCUGUAAGUUUUCGGUUAAAUCCAUGUGCUCAACGCAUGGGCUGCCGAAAAUACUGCAUAGCUAGGGAGUGGGAGAGGUAGACGGUACUCGGUAGGAAGGGGUAAAAUCCUUUGAUCUAUCGAUGACCACCUGUGGCGAAGGCGGUCUACCAGAACACGUUCGACGGUGAGGGAUGAAAGCUGGGGGAGCAAACCGGAUUAGAUACCCGGGUAGUCCCAGCUGUAAACGAUGCAGACUCGAUGAUGCAUUGGCAUAUAGCCAGUGCAGUGUCGCAGGGAAGCCGUUAAGUCUGCCGCCUGGGAAGUACGUACGCAAGUAUGAAACUUAAAGGAAUUGGCGGGGGAGCACCACAAGGGGUGAAGCCUGCGGUUCAAUUGGAUUCAACGCCGG
RNAcentral lists this ribosomal RNA (913 nucleotides) under uncultured marine archaeon. RNAcentral describes it as "bacterial SSU rRNA". It matches the Rfam family "Archaeal small subunit ribosomal RNA", at positions 1 to 921 of the family's 1478-position model. The record is from RNAcentral.